UACGGAGGGAGCUAGCGUUGUUCGGAAUUACUGGGCGUAAAGGGCGCGUAGGCGGUACUUCAAGUCAGGCGUGAAAGCCCCGGGCUCAACCUGGGAACCGCGCUUGAGACUGGAGAACUAGAGUUCGGGAGAGGAUGGUGGAAUUCCCAGUGUAGAGGUGAAAUUCGUAGAUAUUGGGAAGAACACCGAUGGCGAAGGCAGCCAUCUGGACCGACACUGACGCUGAGGCGCGAAAGCGUGGGGAGCAAACAGG
This 253-nucleotide ribosomal RNA is filed under the name uncultured bacterium. RNAcentral describes it as "partial 16S ribosomal RNA". It matches the Rfam family "Bacterial small subunit ribosomal RNA", at positions 524 to 776 of the family's 1533-position model. The record is from RNAcentral.